AAGUCGUAACAAGGUUUCCGUAGGUGAACCUGCGGAAGGAUCAUUGGGGAAGAGGGGGAGUAUGAGAGUUGGAACGAGAGUGCAAUAUAUUCAUUUUCAUAUACAAUCCACACACAACUGCUGACAAUGGAUCUCUGGGCUCUU
This 144-nucleotide unclassified non-coding RNA is filed under the name fungal sp. Its description in RNAcentral is "partial internal transcribed spacer region". The stretch from base 1 to 46 matches the Rfam family "Eukaryotic small subunit ribosomal RNA", at positions 1786 to 1831 of the family's 1831-position model. Lineage: Eukaryota; Fungi. The record is from RNAcentral.